GGAUAUGCGAACAACGACGGUGAUGCGAUUGAAGGGGCAAAGGUUUUGAGUGUGGAUUAAAGUUCAAUCAGAAUGGAGGUUCCGCUGUUAGGAGGUAGAAAGAGACGAUCCGAGCACUGCAUCUGCCUAGCUCAGCGACUGAUACUACUCGUCUUAUUACAGGAAACUUGGUAUGGUGACGUACAGCUGGUUCUUAUUUGAGAGUCUACGGUGCUAAAAAGAAUCGAUCGUGAAGUAGGGAAUGAUCAUGAGUUACCAUUGUGGAGAUUCACGAUUUUUAACAUGUUAUCAAGGAAUCCUCAAAUGUCGAAUAAAGAAGUUGUGAGCCUCGAAAGUGUAGAACAAAGAGUGUACUUUGUUCGAGGACUCCAGAUAAGGAGUCGAGCCUCGAUUAAGGGGAGGUUAUUCAAGGACUCUGUAGGCUUGAGAUCCGUGAUUCUUAACAUGGUAUUAAAGUCGUCAUGUCAAAAUGGAAAAUACCUCAACUCAAAAUUAUUGGUAUUUCGAUCACAUGCUCUACCAGCUGAGCUAAGACGGCUUGGUGAAGGAACAUCAAUAUGACCAUCAGUGUUGCAGAGAAUGACAGGAUAAAUGGGAAAAAUAUUUAUGUUACAUGAUGCUAGCUUUACACUCCAUGUUCUACUUAUCUUGCUUUGCUUUCUUCACCCACUUUUAUCUGAACCAGAGAAGGGAAAGAUCAUUCAACGAGCAGCCAUUGAUUUAUCCAAUGGUAUUUACUGUCAUUGUGAUAACUUGGGUGCCAAAUUGCUGAUUUGACACUUCACUGCAAAUGAUUAACCACAGAGGCCGAUUCGUACUCUGUAUGUUAUUUUCCAAGCUGACUUGCUUUUCUUUUUGUAGCAACACAGACAAAACUUAAAGGUACAUACAUACAUGGAGUGCUGAACCAAAUCAAGUGCUUUCUGUCCUGUAACUGUUGGGAAAAGGAUGGAUUCGUUGGGUUCCAUUGCUCGUGGAGUAAUUGGGCACACCCCUUCCUUUCAUUAUCAUCACCAAAACGAAGAUGGAGAGAUUUCCACAGAUUCUGAGAACUGUUUCUAGAUCGAGGUUGUGUUGGAUACUAUGACCACAGAGCAGUGGAAGCCGGAUACUAUGACACGGAGUAGUGGAAGCUCAAGGAUCAACAAGCGCUAGGGUUGAUCUGUUUGACCCUAUCCAGAAACGUGACGUUCGACAUCAUUGAGAAGAAGACAAUGUAUAUUUGAUGUGAAGAUUAUUCAAUCUACAAAUGUCUGAAGGUGGAUCUGUUGCGAAUCAUAUAUAUGAAUUUAAAGCAUUGAUUUUGUGUUCAUCUAGAUCGAGUGUGUGCGUUGUUGUGCAAUCCUACCAUAUAUGCGGAGAAGAUGUUGACUUCUUCGUUGAACUCAAU
Molecule: non-coding RNA, 1390 nt
Organism: Cucurbita pepo subsp. pepo (vegetable marrow)
Lineage: Eukaryota; Viridiplantae; Streptophyta; Magnoliopsida; Cucurbitales; Cucurbitaceae
Source: RefSeq, a predicted model, not a curated record